Molecule: ribosomal RNA, 459 nt
Filed under: uncultured bacterium
Lineage: Bacteria
Description: partial 16S ribosomal RNA
Rfam family: Bacterial small subunit ribosomal RNA
Source: RNAcentral
CCUACGGGUGGCAGCAGUGAGGAAUAUUGGUCAAUGGCCGAGAGGCUGAACCAGCCAAGUCGCGUGAGGGAAGACGGCCCUACGGGUUGUAAACCUCUUUUGUCGGGGAGCAAAGCGAACCACGUGUGGUUCAUUGCGAGUACCCGAAGAAAAAGCAUCGGCUAACUCCGUGCCAGCAGCCGCGGUAAUACGGAGGAUGCGAGCGUUAUCCGGAUUUAUUGGGUUUAAAGGGUGCGCAGGCGGCGGUGCAAGUCAGCGGUCAAAUGGCGGGGCUCAACCCCGUACUGCCGUUGAAACUGCAUCCCUUGAGUGCGCGAGAGGUAGGCGGAAUGCGGGGUGUAGCGGUGAAAUGCAUAGAUAUCACGCGGAACUCCGAUUGCGAAGGCAGCAUACCGGCGCGCAACUGACGCUGAGGCACGAAGGCGUGGGUAUCGAACAGGAUUAGAUACCCUAGUAGUC